GGGAAUGUGGCUUAGUGGUAGAGUACUUGCCUAACAUGCAUGAAGCCCUGGGUUCAAUUCCUCAGUACCA
This 70-nucleotide transfer RNA is filed under the name Dipodomys ordii (Ord's kangaroo rat). It matches the Rfam family "tRNA". From Rfam's summary of the family: Transfer RNA (tRNA) molecules are approximately 80 nucleotides in length. Their secondary structure includes four short double-helical elements and three loops (D, anti-codon, and T loops). Further hydrogen bonds mediate the characteristic L-shaped molecular structure. tRNAs have two regions of fundamental functional importance: the anti-codon, which is responsible for specific mRNA codon recognition, and the 3' end, to which the tRNAs corresponding amino acid is attached (by aminoacyl-tRNA synthetases). tRNAs cope with the degeneracy of the genetic code in two manners: having more than one tRNA (with a specific anti-codon) for a particular amino acid; and 'wobble' base-pairing, i.e. permitting non-standard base-pairing at the 3rd anti-codon position. Lineage: Eukaryota; Metazoa; Chordata; Mammalia; Rodentia; Heteromyidae. The record is from Rfam by way of RNAcentral.